RNAcentral lists this ribosomal RNA (369 nucleotides) under Salmonella enterica subsp. enterica serovar Thompson. RNAcentral describes it as "partial 23S ribosomal RNA". It matches the Rfam family "Bacterial large subunit ribosomal RNA", at positions 2410 to 2778 of the family's 2925-position model. The record is from RNAcentral. Lineage: Bacteria; Pseudomonadati; Pseudomonadota; Gammaproteobacteria; Enterobacterales; Enterobacteriaceae.
UCAUAGUGAUCCGGUGGUUCUGAAUGGAAGGGCCAUCGCUCAACGGAUAAAAGGUACUCCGGGGAUAACAGGCUGAUACCGCCCAAGAGUUCAUAUCGACGGCGGUGUUUGGCACCUCGAUGUCGGCUCAUCACAUCCUGGGGCUGAAGUAGGUCCCAAGGGUAUGGCUGUUCGCCAUUUAAAGUGGUACGCGAGCUGGGUUUAGAACGUCGUGAGACAGUUCGGUCCCUAUCUGCCGUGGGCGCUGGAGAACUGAGGGGGGCUGCUCCUAGUACGAGAGGACCGGAGUGGACGCAUCACUGGUGUUCGGGUUGUCAUGCCAAUGGCACUGCCCGGUAGCUAAAUGCGGAAGAGAUAAGUGCUGAAAGC